This 261-nucleotide small nuclear RNA is filed under the name Nannospalax galili (Upper Galilee mountains blind mole rat). RNAcentral's name for it is "7SK RNA (ENSNGAG00000005439.1)". It matches the Rfam family "7SK RNA". Rfam says of the family: 7SK was discovered as an abundant small nuclear RNA in the mid-70s but a possible function has only recently been suggested. The record is from RNAcentral. Lineage: Eukaryota; Metazoa; Chordata; Mammalia; Rodentia; Spalacidae.
ACGCUACUGGGCUAUUUGGCUGUGACAUCUGUCAUCUCAUUAAUUGGCCAGGUUCAUUGGGCUGAUCUGGCUGGCUAGGUGGGUGUCCCUUUCCUCCCUGAUACUCUACAUGCUCCUUCCUGAAGCUGCAUACUCAGUCCCACAUAGAGGAGGUAUACGGAGCAGAUGCGCUCCCCUGCUAGAACUUCCAAACAAUCUCUCAGUGUAUUUUCUUAAGGAAGAAACAAACAAAAAACAAGCCAGGUGUGGUGGUACACACUU